ACUGUUGGAGGUAUGCCCUAGAGGCAAUCAUAGAGAUGAUGAUAUUCCAUUUGUAUCCACGAUUUGUAUAUUGUGUUCAUUGAAUAUCCAUUAAAGGCUACUUGAAUUGAUUUACAAUUAUGUGAAUUGUAUGUGAAACUUUUUCUUGUAUGGUUAUUCUAAAGUUGUCCCUAGUCGGAGUUCAUGUGAGGACACACAUGAAUAUUAGACUAGCACAUGUAUUAGUUGAUGACUAUGUUUCAUAAGUCAUGGACAUGGAGAUGUUGAACUAAUAAUGUGGACACAUGUG
This 289-nucleotide long non-coding RNA is filed under the name Setaria viridis. RNAcentral's name for it is "long non-coding RNA (SVIR_LNC006618)". The record is from RNAcentral. Lineage: Eukaryota; Viridiplantae; Streptophyta; Magnoliopsida; Poales; Poaceae.